Molecule: ribosomal RNA, 396 nt
Filed under: Calanus finmarchicus
Lineage: Eukaryota; Metazoa; Arthropoda; Copepoda; Calanoida; Calanidae
Description: SSU rRNA
Rfam family: Eukaryotic small subunit ribosomal RNA
Source: RNAcentral
UGAAGACAAACUACUGCGAAAGCAUUUGCCAAGAAUGUUUUCAUUAAUCAAGAACGAAAGUUAAAGGUUCGAAGGCGAUUAGAUACCGCCCUAGUUUUAACCAUAAACGAUGCCAGCUAGCGAUCUGCGGACGUUUUUUUUGUAGACUCCGCAGGAAGCUUCCGGGAAACCAAAGCAUUUGGGUUCCAGGGGAAGUAUGGUUGCAAAGCUGAAACUUAAAGGAAUUGACGGAAGGGCACCACCAGGAGUGGAGCCUGUGGCUUAAUUUGACUCAACACGGGAAAUCUCACCAGGCCCGGACACUGGAAGGAUUGACAGAUUGAUAGCUCUUUCUUGAUUCGGUGGGUGGUGGUGCAUGGCCGUUCUUAGUUGGUGGAGUGAUUUGUCUGGUUAAUU